This 433-nucleotide ribosomal RNA is filed under the name uncultured bacterium. RNAcentral's name for it is "partial 16S ribosomal RNA". It matches the Rfam family "Bacterial small subunit ribosomal RNA", at positions 29 to 507 of the family's 1533-position model. The record is from RNAcentral.
AACGAACGCUGGCGGCAUGCCUAACACAUGCAAGUCGAACGAGACCUUCGGGUCUAGUGGCGCACGGGUGCGUAACGCGUGGGAACCUGCCCUUAGGUUCGGCAUAACUCCCCGAAAGGGGUGCUAAUACCGGAUAAUGUCCUCGGACCAAAGAUUGAUCGCCUUUGGAUGGGCCCGCGUUGGAUUAGCUAGUUGGUAGGGUAAAAGCCUACAACGGCUACGAUCCGUAGCUGGUCUGAGAGGAUGGUCAGCCACACUGGGAGUGAGACACGGCCCAGACUACUACGGGAGGCAGCAGUGGGGAAUAUAGGAAAAUGGGCGAAAGCAUGAUCCAGCAAUGCCGGGUGAGUGAUGAAGGCCUGAGGGUUGUAAAGCUCUUUUACCCGGGAUGAUAAUGACAGUACCGGGAGAAUAAGCACCGGCUAACUCCGUG